Molecule: ribosomal RNA, 1401 nt
Filed under: Enterococcus durans
Lineage: Bacteria; Bacillati; Bacillota; Bacilli; Lactobacillales; Enterococcaceae
Description: bacterial SSU rRNA
Rfam family: Bacterial small subunit ribosomal RNA
Source: RNAcentral
CAGUCGUACGCUUCUUUUUCACCGGAGCUUGCUCCACCGGAAAAAGAAGAGUGGCGAACGGGUGAGUAACACGUGGGUAACCUGCCCAUCAGAAGGGGAUAACACUUGGAAACAGGUGCUAAUACCGUAUAACAAUCGAAACCGCAUGGUUUUGAUUUGAAAGGCGCUUUCGGGUGUCGCUGAUGGAUGGACCCGCGGUGCAUUAGCUAGUUGGUGAGGUAACGGCUCACCAAGGCUACGAUGCAUAGCCGACCUGAGAGGGUGAUCGGCCACAUUGGGACUGAGACACGGCCCAAACUCCUACGGGAGGCAGCAGUAGGGAAUCUUCGGCAAUGGACGAAAGUCUGACCGAGCAACGCCGCGUGAGUGAAGAAGGUUUUCGGAUCGUAAAACUCUGUUGUUAGAGAAGAACAAGGAUGAGAGUAACUGUUCAUCCCUUGACGGUAUCUAACCAGAAAGCCACGGCUAACUACGUGCCAGCAGCCGCGGUAAUACGUAGGUGGCAAGCGUUGUCCGGAUUUAUUGGGCGUAAAGCGAGCGCAGGCGGUUUCUUAAGUCUGAUGUGAAAGCCCCCGGCUCAACCGGGGAGGGUCAUUGGAAACUGGGAGACUUGAGUGCAGAAGAGGAGAGUGGAAUUCCAUGUGUAGCGGUGAAAUGCGUAGAUAUAUGGAGGAACACCAGUGGCGAAGGCGGCUCUCUGGUCUGUAACUGACGCUGAGGCUCGAAAGCGUGGGGAGCAAACAGGAUUAGAUACCCUGGUAGUCCACGCCGUAAACGAUGAGUGCUAAGUGUUGGAGGGUUUCCGCCCUUCAGUGCUGCAGCUAACGCAUUAAGCACUCCGCCUGGGGAGUACGACCGCAAGGUUGAAACUCAAAGGAAUUGACGGGGGCCCGCACAAGCGGUGGAGCAUGUGGUUUAAUUCGAAGCAACGCGAAGAACCUUACCAGGUCUUGACAUCCUUUGACCACUCUAGAGAUAGAGCUUCCCCUUCGGGGGCAAAGUGACAGGUGGUGCAUGGUUGUCGUCAGCUCGUGUCGUGAGAUGUUGGGUUAAGUCCCGCAACGAGCGCAACCCUUAUUGUUAGUUGCCAUCAUUCAGUUGGGCACUCUAGCAAGACUGCCGGUGACAAACCGGAGGAAGGUGGGGAUGACGUCAAAUCAUCAUGCCCCUUAUGACCUGGGCUACACACGUGCUACAAUGGGAAGUACAACGAGUCGCGAAGUCGCGAGGCUAAGCUAAUCUCUUAAAGCUUCUCUCAGUUCGGAUUGUAGGCUGCAACUCGCCUACAUGAAGCCGGAAUCGCUAGUAAUCGCGGAUCAGCACGCCGCGGUGAAUACGUUCCCGGGCCUUGUACACACCGCCCGUCACACCACGAGAGUUUUAACACCCGAAGUCGGUGAG